RNAcentral lists this ribosomal RNA (274 nucleotides) under uncultured bacterium. Its description in RNAcentral is "partial 16S ribosomal RNA". It matches the Rfam family "Bacterial small subunit ribosomal RNA", at positions 523 to 796 of the family's 1533-position model. The record is from RNAcentral.
AUACAGAGGGUGCAAGCGUUAAUCGGAAUUACUGGGCGUAAAGCGCGCGUAGGCGGUUUAAUCAGUCGGAUGUGAAAGCCCCGGGCUCAACCUGGGAACUGCAUUCGAUACUGUUAAGCUAGAGUAUGGUAGAGGGAAGUGGAAUUCCAGGUGUAGCGGUGGAAUGCGUAGAUAUCUGGAGGAACAUCAGUGGCGAAGGCGACUUCCUGGACCAAUCCUGACGCUGAGGUGCGAAAGCGUGGGGAGCAAACAGGAUUAGAAACCCUAGUAGUCC